UUAACCAAGAAGGAAUGUGCCUAGAGUCAUGGAUGCUGUAGUUGCCUGUGGAAGGCAUCUGUGGGCCAGUGAGGGAGUGAGUAUGCAAGUGUUCAUGCCCCUUAACCCUUGUUCUUAUUUGAUAGAGGAUGUGAUGCUUGACCUACAUCCCAGCCUGGCAGCCAGAAAUAAAAUGUUCUAAAGGCCCCAUGUUAGGGAGCUAUGCAGAAAGGACCUUUGGGCAAAGACAGUGUCAUGAGCUUCCAAGGUACAAGGGCUGGUCCUCAACUUCCUUCCACUCUCCACCCAACUCCCAGUACUCAAGAACUAAUGAGUUAGGAGAAACUGGGUGUGUUCUGGCCACUGAUUAUGGAUGUGAUUUUGAUCUGA
Molecule: small nucleolar RNA, 369 nt
Filed under: Neotoma lepida (desert woodrat)
Lineage: Eukaryota; Metazoa; Chordata; Mammalia; Rodentia; Cricetidae
Description: Small Cajal body-specific RNA 2
Rfam family: Small Cajal body-specific RNA 2
Source: Rfam by way of RNAcentral